ACGAACGCUGGCGGCGUGCCUAAUACAUGCAAGUCGAGCGGACGGAUGGGAGCUUGCUCCCAGACCGUCAGCGGCGGACGGGUGAGUAACACGUGGGCAACCUGCCUGUAAGACUGGGAUAACUCCGGGAAACCGGGGCUAAUACCGGAUAACUCUUUCCCUCACAUGAGGGAAAGCUGAAAGAUGGCAUCUCGCUAUCACUUACGGAUGGGCCCGCGGCGCAUUAGCUAGUUGGUGAGGUAACGGCUCACCAAGGCGACGAUGCGUAGCCGACCUGAGAGGGUGAUCGGCCACACUGGGACUGAGACACGGCCCAGACUCCUACGGGAGGCAGCAGUAGGGAAUCUUCCGCAAUGGACGAAAGUCUGACGGAGCAACGCCGCGUGAGUGAUGAAGGUUUUCGGAUCGUAAAACUCUGUUGUCAGGGAAGAACAAGUACCGGAGUAACUGCCGGUACCUUGACGGUACCUGACCAGAAAGCCACGGCUAACUACGU
Molecule: ribosomal RNA, 496 nt
Filed under: uncultured bacterium
Lineage: Bacteria
Description: partial 16S ribosomal RNA
Rfam family: Bacterial small subunit ribosomal RNA
Source: RNAcentral